Molecule: long non-coding RNA, 765 nt
Filed under: Homo sapiens (human)
Lineage: Eukaryota; Metazoa; Chordata; Mammalia; Primates; Hominidae
Description: non-protein coding lnc-MAFA-3:2
Source: RNAcentral
CCCUCACCAAGGAUUCAGGUAGGCAGCACGGCCUGGCUCAGGCCCCCAGGGCCCCCCUCACCAAGGGCUCAGGUAGGCAGCAUGGCCGGGCUCGGGCACAGGGGAGCUUUAAAUGCCCCCUCAGACCACCACGUCAGAAUCUCCAGGUGGGGCCUGGGUGAGUCCCACGGGCGCCAGGGGUGCACCUGCCAGCCCUGGGGCAGGGCCAGCCAAGGUGCGAGUGUAGCGGUGGCCGCUGCGCAGUCUGCCCCAGCUGAGGGCUGAUUUAAUUAGAAAGCACCCAUUUCUGUUAAUUUGUUCUGGAAGAUCACCACGCACUCCUGGAGAGAACAGAUGUUCCCUCUCCCCCGAUGAGCAUUUGGGGCUUGGUAAAUGGCUCCACUCAGCCUUGUUUAGGAGAGAAAAGAGGAUUUUAUGGCUGCAAACGACCCUUUCUGUAAACAUUUUACAGCUCUCCGCGCGUUUGAGUGACGAUAAACCCCACGCAGCUCGGCGGGCUGCAAAUUUGCGACCAUACGGCUAUCAUUUUAUUGUCAUAUUUCACGGUCGUAACGUUAAUGGAAGAUGCUUGCUGCAGCCUUCUGCAACAGCUCCGCUGAGCACACUCAAAUGCCUGCCUCGGAGGGGCCGCCUCCUGUUCACAGCCUCCACGUCAGGGGCGUGGAGCCGUGGCCAGACCCUCCGCCCCACGAGACCUGGGCACCCGCUCCCUCCAUCUGGGUGGGCCUCUCUGGGGUCGGGGAGCAGAUGGGGCCCCGAGGCAGC